GAUGAACGCUGGCGGCGUGCCUAAUACAUGCAAGCCGAGCGAACGGACGAGAAGCUUGCUUCUCUGAUGUUAGCGGCGGACGGGUGAGUAGCACGUGGAUAACCUACCUAUAAGACUGGGAUAACUUCGGGAAACCGUAGCUAAUACCGGAUAAUAUUUUGCACCGCAUGGUUCAAAAGUGAAAGACGGUCUUGCUGUCACUUAUCGAUGGAUCCGCGCUGCAUUAGCUAGUUGGUAAGGUAACGGCGUACCAAGGCAACGAUGCAUAGCCGACCUGAGAGGGUGAUCAGCCACACUGGGACUGAGACACGGUACAGACUCACACGGGAGGCAGCCGUAGGGAAUCUUCCGCAAUGGGCGAAAGCCUGACGGAGAAACGCCGCGUGAUUGAGGAAGGUCUUCGGAUCGUAAAACUCUGUUAUUGGGGAAGAACAUAUGUGUAAGUAACUGUGCACAUCUUGACGGUAACUAAUCAGAAAGCCACGGCUAACUACGUU
RNAcentral lists this ribosomal RNA (497 nucleotides) under uncultured bacterium. Its description in RNAcentral is "partial 16S ribosomal RNA". It matches the Rfam family "Bacterial small subunit ribosomal RNA", at positions 28 to 507 of the family's 1533-position model. The record is from RNAcentral.